AUUGAACGCUGGCGGCAUGCCUUACACAUGCAAGUCGAACGGCAGCACGGGAGCAAUCCUGGUGGCGAGUGGCGAACGGGUGAGUAAUGUAUCGGAACGUGCCCAGUCGUGGGGGAUAACGUAGCGAAAGCUACGCUAAUACCGCAUACGAUCUAUGGAUGAAAGCGGGGGAUCGCAAGACCUCGCGCGAUUGGAGCCGCCGAUAUCAGCGUAGGUAGUUGGUGGGGUAAAGGCUCACCAAGCCGACGAUCUGUAGCUGGUCUGAGAGGACGACCAGCCACACUGGGACUGAGACACGGCCCAGACUCCUGCGGGAGGCAUCAGUGGGGAAUGUUGGACAAUGGGCGCAAGCCUGAUCCAGCAAUGCCGCGUGCAGGAUGAAGGCCUUCGGGUUGUAAACUGCUUUUGUACGGAACGAAACGGCGAGCUCUAAUACAGUUUGCUAAUGACGGUACCGUAAGAAUAAGCACCGGCUAACUACGUGCCAGCCGCCGCAGUAA
This 500-nucleotide ribosomal RNA is filed under the name uncultured bacterium. RNAcentral describes it as "partial 16S ribosomal RNA". It matches the Rfam family "Bacterial small subunit ribosomal RNA", at positions 30 to 523 of the family's 1533-position model. The record is from RNAcentral.